GCACAGGCUGUAUUUGGGCUUUCCUGCUGCAUUGAGAGGUCAGCAAGAUUGCCUUGGCUGGGAACCAAACUCAUCCUGGUUUCCUGUCUUGGGAUCUCAAGGGGCUAGAAUGAGCUGCUAUUCCAAGGGAGAGAAGAAAGCAACCCCAGGAAGCCUGGCCCCGAAGACUGUGAGGUAUGGUGGGGCCUUGCUGUGCUCUGGACUGGACAAGAGGCACCCUGGGCUCUGGACACAGCCAGAUCUUCAGCCAAUUGCAUCUCCGGCCCAGGGCAGGCCCUUUAUCUUAUAGCCCAGUGGUGCCUCUCUCCUCACCUAGGAAACAAAGCCAACAGGAUCUGCACCACCUCUGCCUCCCGGACAUUGGAAGGACUAAAUAAGAUCAGUGGCUGGUGUCCUGUCUCCAUCCUGCCUGGGAUAACACUGAAAAUCGCCUUAACUUCCUACGUCCUGAGACCUCAUUCCUAGAUGGAACGAGGAAUGGUAGCGACCACGAUCCUCCCCUCCCAGGAUCUGCGCCACAAGGGAAGAUCAGAACCUUCAGCUGCCAGAAGCACUGUGGCGGAAAUGUAGGUCCCCAUCCAGGCUGAUCUGAGCUUGGCUUUCUGGAGCACGCAAACCUCGAUGCACUGAACUGCUGCCGGACCUCACCUUGCCAGGCCCACUGUGCUCACACUCACACAUCGCUCCAUCCACUGGAGGCUGCAGAGGCAAGAUCCACCAAGAAGAUGGUCUUCCUGUCCAGGAUGCCCUUCCCUGAGAGAAGUGUAUUUAAUCUUAAAUUCAGAUGUUUGUUUGUCUACCCACUUAAAACACCCUGUUGAAUAAAAAUUACUCAAGGAACACAUGGAGGCUUUGUCCAUGUAAAAG
RNAcentral lists this long non-coding RNA (867 nucleotides) under Homo sapiens (human). RNAcentral's name for it is "HSALNT0023604". Lineage: Eukaryota; Metazoa; Chordata; Mammalia; Primates; Hominidae. The record is from RNAcentral.